This 483-nucleotide ribosomal RNA is filed under the name uncultured bacterium. RNAcentral describes it as "partial 16S ribosomal RNA". It matches the Rfam family "Bacterial small subunit ribosomal RNA", at positions 28 to 507 of the family's 1533-position model. The record is from RNAcentral.
GACGAACGCUGGCGGCGUGCUUAACACAUGCAAGUCGAACGCUGAAGCUCAGCUUUUGUUGGGUGGAUGAGUGGCGAACGGGUGAGUAACACGUGAGUAACCUGCCCCCUUCUUUGGGAUAACGCCCGGAAACGGGUGCUAAUACUGGAUAUUCACUGGUCUUCGCAUGGGGGUUGGUGGAAAGGGUUUUUCUGGUGGGGGAUGGGCUCGCGGCCUAUCAGCUUGUUGGUGGGGUGAUGGCCUACCAAGGCUUUGACGGGUAGCCGGCCUGAGAGGGUGACCGGUCACAUUGGGACUGAGAUACGGCCCAGACUCCUACGGGAGGCAGCAGUGGGGAAUAUUGCACAAUGGACGCAAGCCUGAUGCAGCGACGCCGCGUGAGGGAUGGAGGCCUUCGGGUUGUGAACCUCUUUCGCUCAUGGUCAAGCCGCAACAAUGGUUGUGGUGAGGGUAGUGGGUAAAGAAGCGCCGGCUAACUACGUG